AGCCUUUUAUAUCCAUGCUGAGAUUUUCUCACAUACCAGACUACACGGGCUGAUGGGAUUCUCAAGAUAAGUGAAGAU
Schistosoma curassoni is the source of this 78-nucleotide non-coding RNA. NCBI's taxonomy places the organism in Eukaryota, Metazoa, Platyhelminthes, Trematoda, Strigeidida, Schistosomatidae. The record is from Rfam.